This 74-nucleotide transfer RNA is filed under the name Patescibacteria group bacterium. RNAcentral's name for it is "tRNA-Gly". It matches the Rfam family "tRNA". Rfam says of the family: Transfer RNA (tRNA) molecules are approximately 80 nucleotides in length. Their secondary structure includes four short double-helical elements and three loops (D, anti-codon, and T loops). Further hydrogen bonds mediate the characteristic L-shaped molecular structure. tRNAs have two regions of fundamental functional importance: the anti-codon, which is responsible for specific mRNA codon recognition, and the 3' end, to which the tRNAs corresponding amino acid is attached (by aminoacyl-tRNA synthetases). tRNAs cope with the degeneracy of the genetic code in two manners: having more than one tRNA (with a specific anti-codon) for a particular amino acid; and 'wobble' base-pairing, i.e. permitting non-standard base-pairing at the 3rd anti-codon position. The record is from RNAcentral.
GCGGAAUUAGUUUAGUGGCAGAACUGGUGCUUCCCAAGCAUCAGGCGGGAGUUCGAUUCUCCCAUUCCGCACUA